GGUCCCGUAGCUCAGUUGGUAGAGCACUGGACUUUUAAUCCAGGUGUCCAGGGUUCGAAUCCCUGCGGGAUCG
Molecule: transfer RNA, 73 nt
Filed under: Candidatus Iainarchaeum sp.
Lineage: Archaea; Nanobdellati; Candidatus Iainarchaeota; Candidatus Iainarchaeia; Candidatus Iainarchaeales; Candidatus Iainarchaeaceae
Description: tRNA-Lys
Rfam family: tRNA
About the family: Transfer RNA (tRNA) molecules are approximately 80 nucleotides in length. Their secondary structure includes four short double-helical elements and three loops (D, anti-codon, and T loops).
Source: RNAcentral